UACAGAGGUCCCGAGCGUUGUUCGGAUUCACUGGGCGUAAAGGGUGCGUAGGUGGCUUUGCAAGUCUGAUGUGAAAUCUCCAGGCCCAACCUGGAAACUGCAUUAGAAACUGUGAGGCUGGAGGCUUGGAGGGGGAACUGGAAUGCUCGGUGUAGCAGUGAAAUGCGUAGAGAUCGAGCGGAACACCAGUGGCGAAGGCGAGUUCCUGGACAAGUCCUGACACUGAGGCACGAAAGCCAGGGGAGCAAACAGG
RNAcentral lists this ribosomal RNA (253 nucleotides) under uncultured bacterium. RNAcentral's name for it is "partial 16S ribosomal RNA". It matches the Rfam family "Bacterial small subunit ribosomal RNA", at positions 524 to 776 of the family's 1533-position model. The record is from RNAcentral.